UAUUUAAACUCAAACCGUUAAGGUGUCUGAACUAGUAACAAGGUUCCUCACAAGAGAUUUGCACUGUCACAGCAGUUCUGAGGCAACAGUAUGGGCUUCAGGUAACAUAUUUGGAGACAUCAUGAAAAUGGACACCAUCGAUAAAUCAGAAAUUACAGCACUGAAGGACAACCGUAAAGGGUGUUGAAGCCUCCAAAAAACUGGCUGAGCACGAUCUGGCCCAGAUAAAGAAAUACAAGGGUAUGAUCACCAAAGUUGGCAAAGCAAAGAAGAUGGACCCAGCCGUGAUUGCUGCCAUCAUAUCCAGAGAGUCGAGAGCUGGAGCCGAGCCAUACUUAAAGAUAGGUGGGGUGAUCAUGGCAAUGGCUUCGGCCUUAUGAAGGUUGGUAAGAGGAACAGGUCUGUUCUUUUUGAAAAUCAGGACAUGCACUUAGGCUUGCACAUAAG
This is a long non-coding RNA of Myxocyprinus asiaticus (Chinese sucker), 447 nucleotides long. RefSeq lists it as uncharacterized. Lineage: Eukaryota; Metazoa; Chordata; Actinopteri; Cypriniformes; Catostomidae. The record is from RefSeq and is a predicted model, not a curated record. The transcript has 3 exons.